AGCAGCCGCGGUAAUUCCAGCUCCAAUAGCGUAUAUUAAAGUUGUUGCAGUUAAAAAGCUCGUAGUUGAAUUUCGGAAUUUGUCGGUUGGUCGGGCUUCACUGUCCGCACUGACCUGAUGGAUUCCUACCUUCUGAAUAACCAGCAUGCUAUUAAGUUAGUGCGUUGGGGAAGCAGAGCUAUUACCUUGAAAAAUUAGAGUGCUUAAAGCAGGCUUGUGCUUGAAUAGAUUAGCAUGGAAUAAUAAAAUAGGACGGCAUGGUUCUAUUUUGUUGGUUUCUAGGAUCACCGUAAUGAUUAAUAGGGAUAGUUGGGGGCAUUAGUAUUCAAUUGUCAGAGGUGAAAUUCUUGGAUUUAUUGAAGACUAACUUCUGCGAAAGCAUUUGCCAAGGAUGUUUUCAUUAAUCAAGAACGAAAGUUAGGGGAUCGAAGACGAUCAGAUACCGUCGUAGUCUUAACCAUAAACUAUGCCGACUAGGGAUCGGACGAUGUUUAAUUUUUAAUG
Molecule: ribosomal RNA, 504 nt
Filed under: uncultured Acaulospora
Lineage: Eukaryota; Fungi; Glomeromycota; Glomeromycetes; Diversisporales; Acaulosporaceae
Description: SSU rRNA
Rfam family: Eukaryotic small subunit ribosomal RNA
Source: RNAcentral